RNAcentral lists this ribosomal RNA (542 nucleotides) under uncultured delta proteobacterium. RNAcentral's name for it is "bacterial SSU rRNA". It matches the Rfam family "Bacterial small subunit ribosomal RNA", at positions 8 to 524 of the family's 1533-position model. The record is from RNAcentral. Lineage: Bacteria; Deltaproteobacteria.
AGAGUUUGAUCCUGGCUCAGAAUGAACGCUGGCGGCGUGCUUAACACAUGCAAGUCGAACGAGAAAGGGAUUGCUUGCAGUCCCGAGUAGAGUGGCGCACGGGUGAGUAACACGUAGAUAAUCUGCCUUCAAGCCUGGGAUAACUAUUCGAAAGGGUAGCUAAUACCGGAUAAAGUCGAUCUACACAAGUAGAUUGAUGAAAGAUUGCCUCUUCUUGAAAGCAAUUGUUUGGAGAUGAGUUUGCGUACCAUUAGCUUGUUGGUGGGGUAAAGGCCUACCAAGGCAACGAUGGUUAGCUGGUCUGAGAGGAUGAUCAGCCACACUGGAACUGGAACACGGUCCAGACUCCUACGGGAGGCAGCAGUGAGGAAUUUUGCGCAAUGGGGGCAACCCUGACGCAGCAACGCCGCGUGAGUGAAGAAGGCCUUUGGGUCGUAAAGCUCUGUCAAUGGGGAAGAAGUUGUGUGGUUCGAAUAGGGCCAUGCAUUGACGGUACCCAUGAAGGAAGCACCGGCUAACUCCGUGCCAGCAGCCGCGGUAAU